RNAcentral lists this ribosomal RNA (250 nucleotides) under uncultured bacterium. RNAcentral's name for it is "partial 16S ribosomal RNA". It matches the Rfam family "Bacterial small subunit ribosomal RNA", at positions 524 to 773 of the family's 1533-position model. The record is from RNAcentral.
UACGGAGGGUGCGAGCGUUGUCCGGAAUCACUGGGCGUAAAGGGCGCGUAGGUGGCGCGGGCAGUCAACGGUGAAAGCUCGGGGCUCAACCCCGAGUCGGCCGUCGAUACUCCCGUGCUUGAGCACUGUAGAGGCAGGUGGAAUUCCGGGUGUAGCGGUGGAAUGCGUAGAGAUCCGGAAGAACACCGGUGGCGAAGGCGGCCUGCUGGGCAGUAGCUGACACUGAGGCGCGACAGCGUGGGGAGCAAAC